AUGAAAUUACAUUCCAGCUUUCUACAAACCCAAUGUAUUAAGUAGGUUUGAUCAAUGAUGUUCACACAAUUAAUUUUGUCUGAUUGCUGAGGAUUACUUUAUCGACAGCCACAUUUCACACUUGUGGGUUUUUUUUUUUUGUUUCCGCAGUAAAUUCCCGGCGAUGUCAGAUCGCGUGAUGGUGGAGCCGGUUCGAAGCCCCCGCUCUCAAAGCGACUUCCAGCAGACCAUGACGGGGAUCAAGAAUUGGCAACAGAGAACAGACACAGCAUUUGGUGUGGGUUCAGGUUGGCCUGGGCAUGUGCAAUACCUCCAGGACUCCAGGAUAAUUCACGCAGAGCUGGGGACAAGGGCGAGUGCCCAAACUCCUCUGCAGGCCCCAGGCCAUCCUGUGGGGGGGCUCUGGCUGGGACAAGGGCAAUGGGUUUUGAUGGUGAGGGUGCUGCUGGACCACGUGCUGACCCCAGUGAGCACCUGCCUGGCGCUGCAGUGAGGAAUUUUGGUGUGGGAGGACGAGGGGGACCUGCCCUGCUGGGGAACUUGCUCGAUCCGCGAACAUACGUGGAAUAAAUGUGCCAGAUUUUAAAAAUGGGUUUUGUUU
Molecule: long non-coding RNA, 601 nt
Filed under: Anas platyrhynchos platyrhynchos (common mallard)
Lineage: Eukaryota; Metazoa; Chordata; Aves; Anseriformes; Anatidae
Description: lncRNA (ENSAPLG00000029183.1)
Source: RNAcentral